UCUCAAUGCAGUCACGGGAGCAGCGGCUUGUGCCGCUGCGAUGGGAGGCAGCGAGUCUUCCGCUGCCCUCCAAUGAGAAUGGUAGUCCCCUACCCUCCUUACUUCCUUCUCCGGUGGUCGGGGAGAAGAACGGCCGCCCGCGCGAUGUAGGAGAAACCCCGCUCCCGAUCAAAUCAGGGAAGAUGAGAUUUGGGUUUUGGAUG
This 203-nucleotide long non-coding RNA is filed under the name Elaeis guineensis (African oil palm). Its description in RNAcentral is "long non-coding RNA (EGUI_LNC018523)". The record is from RNAcentral. Lineage: Eukaryota; Viridiplantae; Streptophyta; Magnoliopsida; Arecales; Arecaceae.